RNAcentral lists this ribosomal RNA (253 nucleotides) under uncultured bacterium. Its description in RNAcentral is "partial 16S ribosomal RNA". It matches the Rfam family "Bacterial small subunit ribosomal RNA", at positions 524 to 776 of the family's 1533-position model. The record is from RNAcentral.
UACGGAGGGUGCAAGCGUUAUCCGGAUUUAUUGGGUUUAAAGGGUGCGCAGGCGGGGCUUUAAGUCAGUGGUGAAAUCUCUUCGCUUAACGAAGAAACUGCCAUUGAUACUGAAGUUCUUGAAUCUAGUUGACGUUAGUGGAAUGUGUCAUGUAGCGGUGAAAUGCUUAGAUAUGACACAGAACACCGAUCGCGAAGGCAGCUAACGAAGCUAGUAUUGACGCUCAGGUGCGAAAGCGUGGGGAGCAAACAGG